This 477-nucleotide ribosomal RNA is filed under the name uncultured anaerobic ammonium-oxidizing bacterium. RNAcentral describes it as "bacterial SSU rRNA". It matches the Rfam family "Bacterial small subunit ribosomal RNA", at positions 365 to 832 of the family's 1533-position model. The record is from RNAcentral.
UUCGCAAUGCCCGAAAGGGUGACGAAGCGACGCCGCGUGGGUGAGGAAGGCCUUCGGGUUGUAAAACCCUGUCAGGAGUUAUGAAAUGUAAGUACGCUAAUAUCGUGCUUAUUUGACAAAGGCUCCAAAGGAAGCCACGGCUAACUCUGUGCCAGCAGCCGCGGUAAUACAGAGGUGGCGAGCGUUGUUCGGAAUUAUUGGGCGUAAAGAGCACGUAGGUGGGUUUGCAAGUCAGAUGUGAAAGCCUUCUGUUCAACGGAAGAAUUGCAUCUGAAACUGCUAAUCUUGAGUAUAGGAGGGGAGAAUGGAACUUCUGGUGGAGCGGUGAAAUGCGUAGAUAUCAGAAGGAACGCCGGCGGCGAAAGCGAUUCUCUGGCCUAUUACUGACACUCAGUGUGCGAAAGCUAGGGGAGCAAACGGGAUUAGAUACCCCGGUAGUCCUAGCCGUAAACGAUGGGCACUAAGUAGAGGGGUUUU